RNAcentral lists this long non-coding RNA (746 nucleotides) under Mytilus galloprovincialis (Mediterranean mussel). Lineage: Eukaryota; Metazoa; Mollusca; Bivalvia; Mytilida; Mytilidae. The record is from RNAcentral.
AAAACAAAUUCAACGAUUGGGAUAGAUAACGGCUGUAUGUGUACUCGCCUCGAGACAGGAAUAAUAUCUCUGAAGCUCGCAUAUCUACUGUUUCUCAUAUUUACUUCUGGGUUUAAAUUAACACAUAUUUUAGGUAUCCCCAUGGCUACAAGUCCAUUUUUAGAGCGACAUAUAACCAAACCAUCAGCAUACUGGUGAACAGAGUGCGAAGAAGCCAUCUGUGAUGACUGCCAGGAACAUCAUAUAGUACUCAAAGCCACACGAAGUCACGAACUCAUACCAAUUGACAAGUACAAAUCUCUUCCGUCUUUCAUUAUUUAUAUAUAGCAGUCAUGUACCUAUCACAAUGAAAAGUACCAACAAUACUGUAUUGCGCAUGCGUUAACUUUUUGUUUCAAAUGCAUUGAAGAACAUCAGAAAUGCAACGUCGUUCCUCUUGAUGAAGUCACAAAUAACGCGAAGAUAUCCGGGCAUUUUCAAGAUUUAGAAACAAGACUGCUAGACUUAUUAUAGAACAGUGAUAGAAUCAAGAAAGACCGAAAGGCUAAUUUGGUCAGUAUUGAAGAAAGGAAGGAGCUGCAUCUUGCAGAAAUUCAACAAAUAAACAAACAAAUAAACAAACAUUUAGACAAACUAGAAAAAGAAAUAAUACAAGAUCUUGAGAAAAAAAAUGUCAAUGUAAGGGGAAUAUUCAGAAUAUCUUAUCAUCAUUAAAAGAAAAGGAAAACUUGGUCACUGAAUAUCAG